This 101-nucleotide ribosomal RNA is filed under the name Klebsiella pneumoniae. The record is from RNAcentral. RNAcentral also lists the same sequence under 1 other name. Lineage: Bacteria; Pseudomonadati; Pseudomonadota; Gammaproteobacteria; Enterobacterales; Enterobacteriaceae.
CGGUGGUCCCACCUGACCCCAUGCCGAACUCAGAAGUGAAACGCCGUAGCGCCGAUGGUAGUGUGGGGUCUCCCCAUGUGAGAGUAGGGAACUGCCAGGCA